RNAcentral lists this ribosomal RNA (263 nucleotides) under uncultured bacterium. RNAcentral's name for it is "partial 16S ribosomal RNA". It matches the Rfam family "Bacterial small subunit ribosomal RNA", at positions 524 to 785 of the family's 1533-position model. The record is from RNAcentral.
UACGGGGGGUGUGAGCGUUGUUCGGAAUUACUGGGCGUAAAGGGCGUGCAGGCGGCCUGUGCAAGUUGAAUGUGAAAUCCCCGGGCUUAACCCGGGACGUGCGUUCAAGACUGCGGGGCUUGAAUACGGGAGAGGAUCGUGGAAUUCCUGGUGUAGAGGUGAAAUUCGUAGAUAUCAGGAGGAACACUCGUGGCGAAGGCGACGAUCUGGACCGAUAUUGACGCUGAGACGCGAAAGCGUGGGUAGCAAACAGGAUUAGAUAC